AUUGAACGCUGGCGGCAUGCCUUACACAUGCAAGUCGAACGGCAGCACGGGUGCUUGCACCUGGUGGCGAGUGGCGAACGGGUGAGUAAUAUAUCGGAACGUGCCCUAGAGUGGGGGAUAACGUAGCGAAAGUUACGCUAAUACCGCAUACGAUCUACGGAUGAAAGUGGGGGAUCGCAAGACCUCAUGCUCAUGGAGCGGCCGAUAUCUGAUUAGCUAGUUGGUGGGGUAAAAGCCUACCAAGGCGACGAUCAGUAGCUGGUCUGAGAGGACGAUCAGCCACACUGGGACUGAGACACGGCCCAGACUCCUACGGGAGGCAGCAGUGGGGAAUUUUGGACAAUGGGGGCAACCCUGAUCCAGCAAUGCCGCGUGAGUGAAGAAGGCCUUCGGGUUGUAAAGCUCUUUUGUCAGGGAAGAAACAGCAACUCUAACACAGUCUGCGAAUGACGGUACCUGAAGAAUAAGCACCGGCUAACUACGUG
RNAcentral lists this ribosomal RNA (485 nucleotides) under uncultured bacterium. RNAcentral's name for it is "bacterial SSU rRNA". It matches the Rfam family "Bacterial small subunit ribosomal RNA", at positions 30 to 507 of the family's 1533-position model. The record is from RNAcentral.